GUAGGUGGCAAGCGUUGUCCGGAAUUAUUGGGCGUAAAGCGCGCGCAGGUGGUUCUUUAAGUCUGAUGUGAAAGCCCCCGGGCUCAACCGGGGAGGGUCAUUGGAAACUGGGGAACUUGAGUGCAGGAGAGGAAAGUGGAAUUCCACGUGUAGCGGUGAAGUGCGUAGAUAUGUGGAGGAACACCAGUGGCGAAGGCGACUUUCUGGCCUGUAACUGACACUGAGGCGCGAAAGCGUGGGGAGCAAACAGGAUUAGAUACCCUGGUAGUCCACGCCGUAAACGAUGAGUGCUAAGUGUUGGGGGGUUUCCGCCCCUCAGUGCUGCAGCUAACGCAUUAAGCACUCCGCCUGGGGAGUACGGUCGCAAAGACUG
This 373-nucleotide ribosomal RNA is filed under the name uncultured organism. RNAcentral describes it as "partial 16S ribosomal RNA". It matches the Rfam family "Bacterial small subunit ribosomal RNA", at positions 527 to 896 of the family's 1533-position model. The record is from RNAcentral.